GAGGAGGGAGAGGAGGUGCUGCAGUGGGAGGAGAAGGAGGUGAAGGACUUCAUGAGCACUCUGGACACACAGCUGGACGGAACACUCUCAUGUGUGCACUCUAAGAACAAGAAGAACAGGAGGCUGCACCUCUACUUCAAGAAGCUGAGAAACGAAACUGUGGAGAAAAUGGAGGACAAGGUCAAGGCCUGGGAGCUGGUGAGGAAGGAAGUCAGAAACCACCUGAGGAGAGUCAACCACCUGGCCAGCAUUCACAUCUAAACACACAGGCACCACCUGGCCAGCAUUCACAUCUAAACACAUAGGCACCACCUGGCCA
Molecule: long non-coding RNA, 319 nt
Organism: Engraulis encrasicolus (European anchovy)
Lineage: Eukaryota; Metazoa; Chordata; Actinopteri; Clupeiformes; Engraulidae
Exons: 3
Source: RefSeq, a predicted model, not a curated record